GUUGACCUCGGAUCAGGUUAGGAAUUAAAACACACA
RNAcentral lists this ribosomal RNA (36 nucleotides) under Tolypocladium sp. 20124521b. RNAcentral describes it as "partial 28S ribosomal RNA". The record is from RNAcentral. Lineage: Eukaryota; Fungi; Ascomycota; Sordariomycetes; Hypocreales; Ophiocordycipitaceae.